Molecule: transfer RNA, 72 nt
Filed under: Ovis aries (sheep)
Lineage: Eukaryota; Metazoa; Chordata; Mammalia; Artiodactyla; Bovidae
Rfam family: tRNA
About the family: Transfer RNA (tRNA) molecules are approximately 80 nucleotides in length. Their secondary structure includes four short double-helical elements and three loops (D, anti-codon, and T loops).
Source: Rfam by way of RNAcentral
UCCCUGGUAGCUCAGAUGGUAAAGUGUCUGCCUACAAUGCAGGAGACCCAGGUUCGAUCCCUGGGUUGGGAA